RNAcentral lists this ribosomal RNA (446 nucleotides) under uncultured bacterium. RNAcentral describes it as "partial 16S ribosomal RNA". It matches the Rfam family "Bacterial small subunit ribosomal RNA", at positions 338 to 795 of the family's 1533-position model. The record is from RNAcentral.
CCUACGGGAGGCAGCAGUCGAGAAUCAUUCACAAUGGGGGAAACCCUGAUGGUGCGACGCCGCGUGGGGGAAUGAAGGUCUUCGGAUUGUAAACCCCUGUCAUGUGGGAGCAAAUUAAAAAGAUAGUACCACAAGAGGAAGAGACGGCUAACUCUGUGCCAGCAGCCGCGGUAAUACAGAGGUCUCAAGCGUGGUUCGGAAUCACUGGGCGUAAAGCGUGCGUAGGCUGUUUCGUAAGUCGUGUGUGAAAGGCGCGGGCUCAACCCGCGGACGGCACAUGAUACUGCGAGACUAGAGUAAUGGAGGGGGAACCGGAAUUCUCGGUGUAGCAGUGAAAUGCGGAGAUAUCGAGAGGAACACUCGUGGCGAAGGCGGGUUCCUGGACAUUAACUGACGCUGAGGCACGAAGGCCAGGGGAGCGAAAGGGAUUAGAUACCCUAGUAGUC